RNAcentral lists this long non-coding RNA (2368 nucleotides) under Marmota monax (woodchuck). The record is from RNAcentral. Lineage: Eukaryota; Metazoa; Chordata; Mammalia; Rodentia; Sciuridae.
GACAGAAUCCAGUGGGGCAUAUAGAAUUGCUGAGUUAUGUUGAACCACAUGCUGUGAGAGUCAGGAGUGGACUUAAUGCCUUUCAUACUGCAAGACUGAAAUCAUGAUCUAUACUUUGUAACUCUAGUAUAAGAAGGUUAAGGAUGAUCCAGAGCUCUGAUAAUAGUGAAAGGCAUUCUAGACCAAAUCUUUUCUGUUUUGGGGAGCUUUUUAGUGUUCAUGGAAAUUUUUCACUCUCUAUCCCAUCUGACCUUGACAAAUUUGUGAAGUGGGUCUUAUCACUUCAGCACAGGUGAUAAGGAGGUUGAGAUUUUGAAGAACCAAAUGACCCAUCCAAGGGCAUACUGUUAUUAUAACAGAUGGAAUUUGGACUUAUCAGAGUCUAAGAUAUUUUCAAAACUCUACUUAUGGUCUUGAAAGGAUAGUUUUUAGAAACAUGGGUUCUUAUAGAUAUAAGACAGAAUUUAAUAUGCUUGCUAAAGUACUCGGAAAACUUCCUGUUCUAGAGAGCAGCUGGUAAGUGGGGUUGACAGUAAUGGCCCAUAGGAAUAUACAGGAGUUUACCUCCAAUCAUUAAUCCAUAUGCCAAACCUCUACCCUAAUGAUCCCUGCCACAGAGGACAUAGUAUUUUCUGGACCUUCUCUAUCCUUUGCUUUUCUCUAUACUUAAGUCUUUGGAAUUUUUCUUCUAAGGCAAAAAUCCCAGGUUAAUUUCAAGAACACUCAUAAUACUGAACAUGACAGAAUUUAUUCUUUACUCUUGAGGUUCCUCAAAGUACUAGAAAUGGAAUCACCAAAACCAGCUAUCCCAUUUCUCAGUACUUAUCCUAAAUAAUUAAAGUUUGCAUACUCCCGGGUAAGGUGGCCCAUGCCUGUAAUCCCAGCAGCUUGGAAUAUUCGAGGCAGGAGGAUAGCAAGUUCAAAAUCAGCCUCAGCAACUUAGUGAGACUGUAAGCAACUUAGAUCCUGUCUUGAAAUAAAAAGAAAAUAAAAGGACUGAAGAUGUGGCUCAGUGGUUGAGUGUCUCUGGGUUCAAUCCCUGGUACUAAAAAACAAAACAAAACAAAAGUCUGGAUACUAUAGCAAUAUAAGGUGUCCAUAUUUAUAGCAGCAUAAUUCACAAUAACCAAACUAUGGAGCCAGUCUAGGAUUUUCUUUCUUUUUUUAAAUAAAUUGAUUGAUUGAUUUGAAUUAGGCAUAUAUGGAAGCAGAAUGCAUUUUGAUUCAUUGUACACAAUCGCAGCACAACUACUCAUUUCUCUGGUUGUACACUAUGUAGCAUCACAACAUAUGUGCAGUCAUACAUGUACCUAGGGUAAUGAUGUCCAUCUCAUUCCAUCAUCUUUCCUGCCCCCAUGCCCCCUCCCUUUCCCUCCCAACCUUUUGUCCAGUCAAAGUUCCUCCAUUUUCCCAUGCCCCUCCACUUAUGUAUCAGCAUCCACUUAUCAGAGAGAACACUUGGCUUUUGUUUUGGGGGAUUGGCUUACUUAACUUAGCAUGAUAUACUCCAACUCCAUCCAUUAACCUGCAAAUGCCAUAAUUUUAUUCUCUCUUAGUGCUGAGUAAUAUUCAAUAGUCAGCCUAGGACUUUCAUAAUGUGUUCAACCUUUAUAAAUAUGAUCCAAAGACUUGCAACAGUUUCUGGAAUAUUGUCUCUCUUCUUCUGCUCUCAUCUCAAAUUCUCCUGAUCAUAACUCUCUGAGAUAUUUAGCUCUGUGAUCAGAGGGAAAGAAGGAAAAAGAGUAAAGAGAAGAAUAAAGUUUAAUUAUUAGUAUUAUGAGAACAGGAAGAUGAACAUGCAGCAUCAGGAUUCCAGGCACUCACAUUGGAUCUGGUUGUCAGAUACUACAGGGCAGGGAUGAUAGCCUCCUGAAUGUACAACCCUGCUUGAGUCAUGGAACUUGAUUGGACUGGUGAAAAAAAUGUAUCUGAUUACACCAUUGUUCUUUCAGUCCUAUCAAGAUGCCAUAAGCACCUUAAAUUUUAUUGAAUGGGUUAAGUGUGGUUUACACAAUUUUGUUGUUAGACUCAUCCUAGUCCAAGUUAAAUUGUAGACCAAAGCAUUUCAAGAUGACUUCCAAACUAUUACUUUCCUCCUUCAAAUGUAUAACAAAUGUCUAAUUUCUCUGCCAGACAUUGGUGAUAUAGGUGUGAAUAAGAAAAAGCCCUCCUUUCUGAGGAUGCCAGACUCACACAAAGGACCAAAUAUUGGAGAUAGCAUGGUAUACUUGACCAAGUUAGUGAGACAGUAUUGUGUUCAAAUCCCAGCUCUGUGCUCACUAGUUUUGUGACUGUGGGCAGGAUACUGAUUAUUAUUAAGAAUAUCUCCCCAGCAGGGUUAAUGAUAUAUUAACUUAUUGGUCGUUGG